Molecule: ribosomal RNA, 373 nt
Filed under: uncultured organism
Description: partial 16S ribosomal RNA
Rfam family: Bacterial small subunit ribosomal RNA
Source: RNAcentral
GUAGGUGGCAAGCGUUGUCCGGAAUUAUUGGGCGUAAAGCGCGCGCAGGCGGGUUCUUUAAGUCUGAUGUGAAAGCCCCCGGGCUCAACCGUGGAGGGUCAUUGGAAACUGGAGAACUUGAGUACAGAAGAGGAAAGCGGAGUUCCACGUGUAGCGGUGAAAUGCGUAGAGAUGUGGAGGAACACCAGUGGCGAAGGCGGCUUUCUGGUCUGUAACUGACGCUGAGGCGCGAAAGCGUGGGGAGCAAACAGGAUUAGAUACCCUGGUAGUCCACGCCGUAAACGAUGAGUGCUAAGUGUUAGGGGGUUUCCGCCCCUUAGUGCUGCAGCUAACGCAUUAAGCACUCCGCCUGGGGAGUACGGCCGCAAGGCUG